Non-coding RNA from Chiloscyllium plagiosum (whitespotted bambooshark), 207 nucleotides. The record is from RefSeq and is a predicted model, not a curated record. NCBI's taxonomy places the organism in Eukaryota, Metazoa, Chordata, Chondrichthyes, Orectolobiformes, Hemiscylliidae.
UGUGGUAAAGUCUCUCUUCUUCCUGAUAUUUGAAAAUGUCUCCAUCCAGAUGAAGUGAUCACUUCAAAUAUUUGGUUCCAUUUUGCUGUUAAACAGCUUCAACCCCAGUCAAUACAUCCAUUUCCAGUUGUAAUGGAAGUGAUGGGGAAGCAGGGCGCCCUCUGGAGGCAAGGUGCCCUGAGGCAUGAUACAUGGGUGAGACCAAGC